This is a small nuclear RNA of Sorex fumeus (smoky shrew), 160 nucleotides long. RefSeq annotates it as U1 spliceosomal RNA. Lineage: Eukaryota; Metazoa; Chordata; Mammalia; Eulipotyphla; Soricidae. The record is from RefSeq and is a predicted model, not a curated record. The transcript has a single exon.
ACACUUACCAUGCAGGGGAGAUACAAUCACGAAGGUGGUUUUCCAGGGCGAGGCUUAUCCAUUGCACUCCGGAUGUGCUGACCCCUGCAAUUUUCCCAAAUGUGGGAAUCUCAACUGAAUAAUUUGUGGUAGUGGGGGACUGCAUUCAUGCUCUCCCCUG